Molecule: ribosomal RNA, 756 nt
Filed under: uncultured bacterium
Lineage: Bacteria
Description: bacterial SSU rRNA
Rfam family: Bacterial small subunit ribosomal RNA
Source: RNAcentral
AGAGUUUGAUCCUGGCUCAGAAUCAACGCUGGCGGCGCGCCUAACACAUGCAAGUCGAACGAGAAAGGGGAGCAAUCCCUGAGUACAGUGGCGUACGGGUGAGUAACACGUGGAUGAUCUACCCCUUAGUUUGGAAUAACCAUGGGAAACCGUGGCUAAUACCGGAUAAGCUCGAGAGAGGAAAGCAGCAAUGCGCUGAGGGAGGAGUCCGCGGCCGAUUAGCUAGUUGGUAGGGUAAGAGCCUACCAAGGCAAAGAUCGGUAGCCGGCCUGAGAGGGCACACGGCCACACUGGCACUGAAACACGGGCCAGACUCCUACGGGAGGCAGCAGUGGGGAAUCUUGCACAAUGGGGGAAACCCUGAUGCAGCGACGCCGCGUGAGCGAUGAAGCCCUUCGGGGUGUAAAGCUCUUUCGGCAGGGAAGAUGGUGACGGUACCUGCAGAAGCAGCUGCGGCUAACUACGUGCCAGCAGCCGCGGUAAUACGUAGGCAGCAAGCGUUGUUCGGAGUUACUGGGCGUAAAGGGUGUGUAGGCGGUUUUUUAAGUUUGGUGUGAAAUCUCCCGGCUCAACUGGGAGGGUGCGCCGAAUACUGAAAGACUAGAGUGCGGGAGAGGAAAGUGGAAUUCCUGGUGUAGCGGUGAAAUGCGUAGAUAUCAGGAGGAACACCGGUGGUGUAGACGGCUUUCUGGACCGUAACUGACGCUGAGACACGAAAGCGUGGGUAGCAAACAGGAUUAGAUACCCCCGUAGUCC